Phodopus roborovskii (desert hamster) is the source of this 616-nucleotide long non-coding RNA. RefSeq lists it as uncharacterized. NCBI's taxonomy places the organism in Eukaryota, Metazoa, Chordata, Mammalia, Rodentia, Cricetidae. The record is from RefSeq and is a predicted model, not a curated record. The transcript is spliced from 2 exons.
UCAGGCACUCAGGAGUUAAGCUGUCCCCUUCUCUGAGAUAGGAGACCAAAGGAGCCUAAGAAUCAAGAAACUGGCCACAGGUCGAACCACGGUUGUCAGCUUCAGGUGGACCUGGACCCUCUGCUUUCAAGGCCCAUGGGCUUUGCUUACUACUCCAAAAUACAGGUGUGGCUGAAUAAUAGAGUGAUUAAUUUCACUUUCAGUGCCUUCCUUCCUGAGCUGAAGUGCUUCUGUAGAGACUAAUUCAGUGAAACCUGUUUAGGGGAUCAUCCCUGCUAGACAGACAGCUGCAGGGGCAUCCGCUUCCCAGCAUGGAUUUCAGAUUAUGGCCAAUCAGGAGCCAGAGCUAAGGAACACCUGUCAGCACUGUUUGCUGCAAGGAGACCAGCUCUUUAAUCGAAUUUCAUUGUACUUCAGAAAAAGGUUUAUUUUAAAUGUGGCGUCUGCUUUUAUGAUUCAUCCUUCUCAGCUGAGACAUCACUUUGGGGCUUAUUUAUGCUGUUGUUCUAGGGUGAAACGAGAAACUGCAAGAAAGUAUUUCAAAAGGCGACCUUUCCCAGACAUUCAAUUAGCAACCUUGUCAUGUGGGAAAAUAAAAAAGAAAUGGAAAACUUUA